GGGGAUGUAGCUCAGAUGAUAGAGUGCUUGCCUCACAUGUACAAGGCCCUGGGUUCAAUUCCCAGUACCACCA
Molecule: transfer RNA, 73 nt
Filed under: Ictidomys tridecemlineatus (thirteen-lined ground squirrel)
Lineage: Eukaryota; Metazoa; Chordata; Mammalia; Rodentia; Sciuridae
Description: Spermophilus tridecemlineatus (thirteen-lined ground squirrel) tRNA
Rfam family: tRNA
About the family: Transfer RNA (tRNA) molecules are approximately 80 nucleotides in length.
Source: Rfam by way of RNAcentral